Molecule: long non-coding RNA, 350 nt
Organism: Protopterus annectens (West African lungfish)
Lineage: Eukaryota; Metazoa; Chordata; Ceratodontiformes; Protopteridae
Exons: 2
Source: RefSeq, a predicted model, not a curated record
GGUUUCUCUGACAUGAAGUAUGAAGAAGAAUUAAUUAACAAAAUUCUAAAACAGAUGUGUUGCACAUGCAUAUUGAAAAGUCACGGUUUACUAGGUCUUCAGGUCUGUCAUGUGAUUAUUCUUGAGAAUGUUGGUGUCAUGCAUUUUAUGUGGAACGCCUGAAACAGGAAAAGCAGAGCGAAAACAGAAACCUCUUUCUUAACAGUAUGUGACCUGCACAUUCAGACAUGGUUAUCGGAACUGUUCCCUGCAUGGAAGAACCUCACAUCUGUGAAACCAAAAUACAGCUUGCAGUGUAUGCUAUGUAUUUUUAGUGUCUGUCUCUUUACAUUAAACUCCAUUUAAAAGUG